GUAAGGGCGUGCGGUGGAUGCCUUGGCAUCGGCCGGCGAUGAAGGACGUGAUAAGCUGCGAUAAGCCUCGGGGAGCGGCACAUACGCUUUGAUCCGGGGAUCUCCGAAUGGGGCAACCCGCUCCGGGCAAUGCCGGAGCGUCGGCGCCGGAACACAUACGACGUCGAAGCGAACGGGGGGAAGUGAAACAUCUCAGUACCCCCAGGAAAAGAAAGCAAACGCGAUUCCCUCAGUAGUGGCGAGCGAACGGGGAACAGCCCAAACCCCGCGGUUUACCGCGGGGGGUUGUGGGACCGCGGCGUGGGAUCUGGAUGGAUAGCCGAAGAGAUCUGGAACGUUCCUCCACAGAGGGUGACAGGCCCGUAGGCGAAAUCCGGACAGACCCUAGCGGGAUCCCAAGUACGGCGGGACACGUGAAACCCUGCCGGAAUCCGGGAGGCCCACCUCCUAAGGCUAAAUACGUGCCGAUGACCGAUAGUGAACGAGUACCGUGAGGGAAAGGUGAAAAGAACCCCUGAUAGGGGAGUGAAACAGUACCUGAAACCGCAUGCCUACAAGGUGUCGUAGUCCGGCGAACGCCGGAUGGCGGCUUGCCUUUUGCAUAAUGAGUCCGCGAGUUGCCGUACGCGGCGAGGUUAAUCCCGGUGACGGGAGGAGCCGAAGCGAAAGCGAGUGCGAACGGCGCGAUUCAGUCGCGUGCGGCAGACCCGAAGCCGUGUGAGCUACCCAUGGCCAGGGUGAAGCCCGGGUAACACCGGGUGGAGGCCCGAACCAGUGGACGUUGAAAAGUCCUUGGAUGAGCUGUGGGUGGGAGCGAAAGACUUAACAAACUCGGGGAUAGCUGGUUCUUCCCGAAAUAGCUUUAGGGCUAGCCUGCACGAACGCGACCGGCGGAGGUAGAGCACUGAAUGGUCUAGGGUUCUUACCGGAAUACCGAAGCCAAUCAAACUCCGAAUGCCGCCGGCGGCACGUGUGGAGUCAGUCCGUGGGGGAUAAGCUUCACGGACAAGAGGGAAAUAGCCCAGACCGCCGGCCAAGGCCCCCAAAUCCGGUUAAGUGCGGAAGGAUGUGAAACUGCGAAGACAGCCAGGAUGUUGGCUUAGAGGCAGCCAUCAUUUAAACAGUGCGUAACAGCUGACUGGUCGAGUGGUUUUGCGCCAUAAAUGAUCGGGACUCAAACCGGAUGCCGAAGCCGCGGAUCCCUCGCGCAAGCGGGGGGUGGUAGGGAAGCGUUCCAUGCGGGCCGAAGUGUUGCGGGAACGCGGCAUGGACUGCAUGGAAGCGAUUAUGCGGACAUGAGUAACGAUAAGACGGGUGGAAAUCCCGUCCGCCGAAAUCCCAAGAUUUCCUGGGGAAGGUUCGUCCGCCCAGGGUUAGUCGGCCCCUAAGGCGAGGCCGAAAGGCGUAGUCGAUGGGAAACAGGUUCAAUAUUCCUGUACCGCCGGUUCGACGAUCAAGACGCGAUGGAGUGACGCAGAAAGCUAGGCCGGCCACCAGAUGGAAACGGUGGUCCAAGCCCCCAGAGGGUCCCGAUAGGCAAAUCCGUCGGGGCGUCAACCUUGAAGGGCGAGCGGGAUCCGUCCCGCAAGGGGCGGGAACCGGCCGAGGCUCCGCUGCCGAGAAAAGCUUCUAGCGAGUCGGACAGGCGACCGUAUCGCAAACCGACACAGGUGGGAGGGUAGAAUAUACCCAGGCGCGCGAGAGAAACCUCGUUAAGGAACUCGGCAAUCUGGCCCCGUAACUUCGGAAGAAGGGGUCCUCUCCGGCGUGCGAUCAUCUCAAGCGCUGGGGAGGCGCAGUGAAAGAGCUCUGGCGACUGUUUACCAAAAACACAGCACUCUGCGAACUCAAAAGAGGAUGUAUAGGGUGUGACACGUGACCAAUGCCGAAAGGUUAAGGCAAGGAGUCAGCCGCAAGGCGAAGCUCCGACCCGAAGCCCCGGUGAAUGUCGGCCGUAACUAUAACGGUCCUAAGGUAGCGAAAUUCCUUGUCGGGUAAGUUCCGACCUGCACGAAUCGUGUAACGAUCGGAGCGCUGUCUCAACGAGGUUCUCGGUGAAAUUGUAGCGCCGGUGCAAAUGCCGGCUUCCCGCAGUAGGACGGAAAGACCCUGUGAACCUUUACUGUAAUCUGGUAUGGGACUCUGGCCCGCCAUAUGUAGGAUAGCUGGGAGGCGGAGAACCCCGCUCGUCAGGGUGGGGGGAGCCGACGGUGAAAUACCAGUUUUGGUGGUCCGGAGUUCUAACCUGGGCCCGUCAUCCGGGACAGGGACAGUGCCAGAGGGUCAGUUUGACUGGGGCGGUUUCCUCCCAAACGGUAACGGAGGAGCCCUAAGGUUCCCUCAACACGGUCGGCAAUCGUGUGUAGAGCGCAUAGGCAGAAGGGAGCUUGACUGCGAGACGGACAGGUCGAGCAGGUGCGAAAGCAGGGCUAAGUGAUCCGGUGGUUGCUCGUGGUAGCGCCAUCGCUCAACGGACAAAAGGUACUCCGGGGAUAACAGGCUGAUCGCCGCCAAGAGUCCACAUCGACGCGGCGGUUUGGCACCUCGAUGUCGGCUCAUCGCAUCCUGGGGCUGGAGAAGGUCCCAAGGGUUGGGCUGUUCGCCCAUUAAAGCGGUACGCGAGCUGGGUUCAAAACGUCGUGAGACAGUUUGGUCCUUAUCCACUGUGGGCGCAGGAGAUUUGAGGGGAUAGUUCCUUAGUACGAGAGGACCGGGAACUACGCACCUCUGGUGUUCCGGCUGUCGCGCCAGCGGCACCGCCGGGUAGCUAUGUGCGGAAAGGAUAAGCGCUGAAAGCAUCUAAGCGCCAAGCCCCCCCCAAGAUCAGAUCUCCCAACCCGUAAGGGUUCUGAAGGCUGGUCGAAGACGACGACCUCGAUAGGCCGGAGGUGGACGCGGGGCGACCCGUGAAGCUGACCGGUCCUAAUCAGCCGUGUGGCUUGAUC
This 2945-nucleotide ribosomal RNA is filed under the name hot springs metagenome. Its description in RNAcentral is "bacterial LSU rRNA". It matches the Rfam family "Bacterial large subunit ribosomal RNA". The record is from RNAcentral.